Molecule: ribosomal RNA, 2043 nt
Filed under: Escherichia coli
Lineage: Bacteria; Pseudomonadati; Pseudomonadota; Gammaproteobacteria; Enterobacterales; Enterobacteriaceae
Description: partial 23S ribosomal RNA
Rfam family: Bacterial large subunit ribosomal RNA
Source: RNAcentral
AUAAUGGGUCAGCGACUUAUAUUCUGUAGCAAGGUUAACCGAAUAGGGGAGCCGAAGGGAAACCGAGUCUUAACUGGGCGUUAAGUUGCAGGGUAUAGACCCGAAACCCGGUGAUCUAGCCAUGGGCAGGUUGAAGGUUGGGUAACACUAACUGGAGGACCGAACCGACUAAUGUUGAAAAAUUAGCGGAUGACUUGUGGCUGGGGGUGAAAGGCCAAUCAAACCGGGAGAUAGCUGGUUCUCCCCGAAAGCUAUUUAGGUAGCGCCUCGUGAAUUCAUCUCCGGGGGUAGAGCACUGUUUCGGCAAGGGGGUCAUCCCGACUUACCAACCCGAUGCAAACUGCGAAUACCGGAGAAUGUUAUCACGGGAGACACACGGCGGGUGCUAACGUCCGUCGUGAAGAGGGAAACAACCCAGACCGCCAGCUAAGGUCCCAAAGUCAUGGUUAAGUGGGAAACGAUGUGGGAAGGCCCAGACAGCCAGGAUGUUGGCUUAGAAGCAGCCAUCAUUUAAAGAAAGCGUAAUAGCUCACUGGUCGAGUCGGCCUGCGCGGAAGAUGUAACGGGGCUAAACCAUGCACCGAAGCUGCGGCAGCGACGCUUAUGCGUUGUUGGGUAGGGGAGCGUUCUGUAAGCCUGCGAAGGUGUGCUGUGAGGCAUGCUGGAGGUAUCAGAAGUGCGAAUGCUGACAUAAGUAACGAUAAAGCGGGUGAAAAGCCCGCUCGCCGGAAGACCAAGGGUUCCUGUCCAACGUUAAUCGGGGCAGGGUGAGUCGACCCCUAAGGCGAGGCCGAAAGGCGUAGUCGAUGGGAAACAGGUUAAUAUUCCUGUACUUGGUGUUACUGCGAAGGGGGGACGGAGAAGGCUAUGUUGGCCGGGCGACGGUUGUCCCGGUUUAAGCGUGUAGGCUGGUUUUCCAGGCAAAUCCGGAAAAUCAAGGCUGAGGCGUGAUGACGAGGCACUACGGUGCUGAAGCAACAAAUGCCCUGCUUCCAGGAAAAGCCUCUAAGCAUCAGGUAACAUCAAAUCGUACCCCAAACCGACACAGGUGGUCAGGUAGAGAAUACCAAGGCGCUUGAGAGAACUCGGGUGAAGGAACUAGGCAAAAUGGUGCCGUAACUUCGGGAGAAGGCACGCUGAUAUGUAGGUGAAGUCCCUCGCGGAUGGAGCUGAAAUCAGUCGAAGAUACCAGCUGGCUGCAACUGUUUAUUAAAAACACAGCACUGUGCAAACACGAAAGUGGACGUAUACGGUGUGACGCCUGCCCGGUGCCGGAAGGUUAAUUGAUGGGGUCAGCGCAAGCGAAGCUCUUGAUCGAAGCCCCGGUAAACGGCGGCCGUAACUAUAACGGUCCUAAGGUAGCGAAAUUCCUUGUCGGGUAAGUUCCGACCUGCACGAAUGGCGUAAUGAUGGCCAGGCUGUCUCCACCCGAGACUCAGUGAAAUUGAACUCGCUGUGAAGAUGCAGUGUACCCGCGGCAAGACGGAAAGACCCCGUGAACCUUUACUAUAGCUUGACACUGAACAUUGAGCCUUGAUGUGUAGGAUAGGUGGGAGGCUUUGAAGUGUGGACGCCAGUCUGCAUGGAGCCGACCUUGAAAUACCACCCUUUAAUGUUUGAUGUUCUAACGUUGACCCGUAAUCCGGGUUGCGGACAGUGUCUGGUGGGUAGUUUGACUGGGGCGGUCUCCUCCUAAAGAGUAACGGAGGAGCACGAAGGUUGGCUAAUCCUGGUCGGACAUCAGGAGGUUAGUGCAAUGGCAUAAGCCAGCUUGACUGCGAGCGUGACGGCGCGAGCAGGUGCGAAAGCAGGUCAUAGUGAUCCGGUGGUUCUGAAUGGAAGGGCCAUCGCUCAACGGAUAAAAGGUACUCCGGGGAUAACAGGCUGAUACCGCCCAAGAGUUCAUAUCGACGGCGGUGUUUGGCACCUCGAUGUCGGCUCAUCACAUCCUGGGGCUGAAGUAGGUCCCAAGGGUAUGGCUGUUCGCCAUUUAAAGUGGUACGCGAGCUGGGUUUAGAACGUCGUGAGACAGUUCGGUCCCUA